RNAcentral lists this long non-coding RNA (1028 nucleotides) under Apteryx haastii (Great spotted kiwi). RNAcentral's name for it is "lncRNA (ENSAHAG00000003544.1)". The record is from RNAcentral. Lineage: Eukaryota; Metazoa; Chordata; Aves; Apterygiformes; Apterygidae.
GCGCGCUGCUCGCCGGCGGCACUGAGCUGCGGCCGGGGCCGGGGCGGGCGGGGCUCGCGGGCGCCUCCUGCCCUGCCCUGCCCUGCCCUGGCCUGGCCUGGCCUGGCCUGGCCUGGCCGCGGGGACGGGCGUCGCUUCCCUCCUCCCCCCCCGCUCCCUCUGCCGCCUCCCUGCGUGUCCCGCGCCGCUCCCGGGUCGGCUCCGCAGUCGCGAUUAUCGCACUCCCACUUUUCUGAUUAUUUAGUUAAGCUUUCUUUCUUUUUUUUUCUUUUUUCUUCUUUUUCUUCUUAGGAACAGCGUGUUAGGCAAAACGCGUGUUUCCCCCUGUACUUCGUUUGGGUCCAUUGCUUGUUUCGCACGCCACAGUUCGGUGUAGCUUCAUCCCGCCUCCUUCGGGGUGUUGUGUUUUCAGGCACUUUGUCGUUGAGGCUCGUAAACGAAAUAAAAUCGCCCGGGCGCGGCCUCGGCCCGGUCGGUGAAGCUGUGAGACAGGCUCAAAUAACUCGAAGUAGAUAAAGAGGUCCUCGAAACCGGAGGCGUAUUGCUGUUGCUUUUGUGGGCUUCAGUACCUUAAACCAAAUCAUCCUUUUUCCGGUCCUUCACCAGAUGGUCUUAGACUUCGCUGGAGCUGCUCCACCUGCCUCGGCCAUUCGGCCGCAGCUACGGGCAGCUCUUGCCGCUGUUUCUUGCGCAUCAGCACGCGAUGCGCGUGUACCCUGUGUACGUGUGCGGGUGUGUACGCACCAGCAGCUGAUGCCUUGCUCUGGGAUGCAGGAAGAGCUUCUUCAGACAUGCCUAAGGAAAAAGUUUUAGGUGUGGUAGAAGAGAGAUUGGAAUUCUGGCAGUCAAAGCAUAUGUUAAACUUGACUAUUCUUACUUUAAGUAAGUAAGAUGAAGUUUUUAUUUGAAAUCAACUCUCUGAUGUAGCAGAGUCAGCUGCCCCAUGGACUGACUUUAGUGCCAAAAAUACUUUGCCUAUUUCCAGUUUGGAGUUUAGGGAAUAAAGUUACAUAGUAUAGGUGAAAACA